CUCUGUGCCUCUUAACCUUAUUUUCUUAACUCCCCCUCAAUAAAACUUUCAAUGUGAGUCGCGUCUACGGGUCUCUGUUUCCUCAUCCGCCCACUGUCCAUCACCCACCAUGGGACCGGGACCUGCCACAUGCGGUCCCAACCCGUUGCGUUUUAUUCUUAACUCACUCUUCUCAAGGACUUUUGCUGUUCCCUCCAGCACCCCUGCAGUGGAAGUAGCAGGUACACUUACAGGACUUACAGUCAGAAUGAACAGUCACUACACGUGGCAGUAGUCCACUCGCAGGACUGGAGUCAGAGUCCCAGCCCUCAUCCAAUCUCUGGGAUCCUCGGGGGGUAGGGUGGGGGGGACGGGGACGGACAGGUGCUGACAGAUAGAUCAGCAAAGUGACAGGUGGGAGAAGUGGGUAUCUGUUCUGAGGGUGGCAAUCUCUCCCCCAGGGGUAUGCUAGUGACCUUGUCCAUUAGCCUUUUCUUGCUCCCUGCUCAUUGGAUUAGGAGAUCCCUAAAAUAGAGGUCAUUUGUCUCUGAGGUUUUCAGGGCCUUGGGUUCAUGCUCUCAAUGGUGCCUGAACAUUAAUCAUGUGCCAGAUGCCUCACUAAGUGCUUUAGUGUACUUACUUCAUCUUCCUAAUGUCCUGUAGUGGAGCUGUUAGCAUCCUUGGGCUUAUUUUUAAAAAGCCACUUAUCUUUUGCUUGAUUGAUCUUUGUCAUGUCAUUUGAGAUUGUGUGUGUGUGUGUGUGUGUGUGUGUGUGUGUGUGUGUGUGUGUGUGUGUUGGCACUCAGGCAUUUACACUGGCCUGCCCUCGGGAACUUAGCAGGACAUAUACUGCUGGAGCAGGAGCAGUCAAGCCUUGACUCAGUGACUACUGCUACCACUGAGUCGAGCACUCUCCUUAUGUGUAUGCCCUAUAUCCCCUUAGAAGAGGCAAGCCCUUCUCAACCCUCCCUCUCUCUCUUCCUUCCACUCUCAGAGUCUGCACCCCCCCCCCACCCAUCCAAUAACCUGCUCAUGUGAACUCUGUUGCAUGGUGCAGCUUUGUGGUGUCCCUUGGCUCCAACCUGCCAAGGUUACCUUUUGCCAUUAAACUAUUAUAAUGUGUCUUACUCUAUAGUCCAGGUUGGCUUUGAACUCACAACUCUCUUGCCUCAGCUUUCUGUAUGUUGAGAUUACAGGUGUGAAUCAUGCUGGCUUCUUGUUAAGUUUUGAGAUGAAGAGAAUGCUUAGACAACUCAUUUGGGCGACACAGCAACUAAGUGGUUGACUCUAGAACCUUCCCUUUUGCCACUCCCCCACGCCACCAAAGUGGCCUUCCUGUUUUUGCUUAGAAAGUAGGAGGGGAGAGCUAUAUCUGGCUUACUUCAAUCCCUUGUAAAACAACAACCUGAAGCACCCCUAUCUCCUCCAAAGAAGAUGGAUGGGCACACAAGAACCUCCACCCAAACUAGCUUCAAAAUUGGCAAUGCCAGCCACUGAACAAAACCUGCCUUUUACCUCAACUGCUACAAAGACCCUCUUCAGACCGUGGAAAAAAC
RNAcentral lists this long non-coding RNA (1535 nucleotides) under Cricetulus griseus (Chinese hamster). RNAcentral's name for it is "lncRNA (ENSCGRG00015029993.1)". The record is from RNAcentral. Lineage: Eukaryota; Metazoa; Chordata; Mammalia; Rodentia; Cricetidae.